Molecule: ribosomal RNA, 430 nt
Filed under: uncultured bacterium
Lineage: Bacteria
Description: partial 16S ribosomal RNA
Rfam family: Bacterial small subunit ribosomal RNA
Source: RNAcentral
AACGAACGCUGGCGGCAGGCUUAACACAUGCAAGUCGAGCGCCCCGCAAGGGGAGCGGCAGACGGGUGAGUAACGCGUGGGAACGUACCUUUUGGUUCGGAACAACUCCGGGAAACUGGAGCUAAUACCGGAUAAGCCCUAACGGGGAAAGAUUUAUCGCCGAAAGAUCGGCCCGCGUCUGAUUAGCUAGUUGGUGAGGUAACGGCUCACCAAGGCGACGAUCAGUAGCUGGUCUGAGAGGAUGAUCAGCCACACUGGGACUGAGACACGGCCCAGACUCCUACGGGAGGCAGCAGUGGGGAAUAUUGGACAAUGGGCGCAAGCCUGAUCCAGCCAUGCCGCGUGAGUGAUGAAGGCCUUAGGGUUGUAAAGCUCUUUUGUCCGGGAAGAUAAUGACUGGACCGGAAGAAUAAGCCCCGGCUAACUUCGU